RNAcentral lists this ribosomal RNA (441 nucleotides) under Astrosyne radiata. RNAcentral describes it as "partial Bacterial large subunit ribosomal RNA". It matches the Rfam family "Bacterial large subunit ribosomal RNA", at positions 1111 to 1664 of the family's 2925-position model. Lineage: Eukaryota; Bacillariophyta; Fragilariophyceae; Cyclophorales; Cyclophoraceae. The record is from RNAcentral.
AGCAGCCAUCCUUUAAAGAAAGCGUAACAGCUCACUGGUCAAGCGCUCCUGCGCGGAAAAUGUAACGGGGCUUAAGUGAUACACCGAAGCUGCGGGCUCGAAAGAGCGGUAGCGGAGCGUUCUGUAAGCCGUUGAAGGGAGACCCGCGAGGGCUCCUGGAGGUAUCAGAAGUGAGAAUGCUGACAUGAGUAGCGAUAAAGAGUGUGAGAGACACUCUCGCCGAAAGUCCAAGGGUUCCUGCGCAAUGCUAAUCAGCGCAGGGUUAGCCGGCCCCUAAGGCGAGGCCGAAAGGCGUAGUCGAUGGGAACCAGGUUAAUAUUCCUGGGCCACCGGGUAGUGACGGAUGCCGGACUUUGUCCAUCCUUAUUGGAUUGGGUGGGCAAUAAAGGCGUCCCUGGAAAUAGCUCCCGGAAUAAGACCGUACCCCAAACCGACACAGGU